This is a non-coding RNA of Rhopilema esculentum, 24868 nucleotides long. The record is from RefSeq and is a predicted model, not a curated record. Lineage: Eukaryota; Metazoa; Cnidaria; Scyphozoa; Rhizostomeae; Rhizostomatidae.
AGUUAUGCGAAAUUUUAGCUUGGUGUACCAAGACUUUUGACAAGAAUUGUAGUUCUUUGCUGCAAUAUGCAAAUUUACCCAAUGACAUGGUUUGUUUUCCUGCACUGGUUGCAGUACCAAGAUUUUGCAGGUGCUCUGGUCAAUAAUUUUUACACAACCAUUAGAGGAACCAUUCCAUUUCACAAUCAGGUUCAUUACAGGGAAUUAUAGGUUGGACUUUUAAAAAAGCAAUGAAGUUUGUCUGAGUUGUCCUUAUUUUGAUCAUGCUUUCUAGGCAAUGGGAUAUAAGCAAUAAACUAUUUCAGGUAAAAUGUAAAAAAUACCUUGCAGAAUUUUUCUUUCCAUUUGAGGCAAAAUUGAUUGUCUUCUUCAAUGGUCAAGAAGAGCUUGUCACUUUCUUUCUGCCCUUUUGUCCAAAUGAAAAAGUAACAAUAAGUUCGUCCAGUUACAAGAAGUUGGUGCUGCCCUUGAGAAUAGCAUUGGUGGUUCUGCCUUAUUACAUCAUCAGAAGAGAUUGGAAAAUUGGGAUCUGACUUCCACCAAUCCAGGCUAUCUUCACAUUUAUAUGGGCAUUUACUCUAGUACUCCUUUUCGAUGACACUCAUCUUCAUCACCAGUAUCUGUUUCACUAUUGCUCCUGUCAUCAUGUAAAGACGAAUCCAGAAUACUUGUAAACAUUCCUGCACUUGGGGCCAACUUUCUCAGUUUUUUAAUUUAUUUUUGGCAGAUGUCUCACCAGAAACUGGCGGAUCUCUAGAACAGUAUGGCUUCUCAAGUUGCCUACUACCUUUUGUCUCAUUUUGGACACAACUAUCUUUCUUGGGGGAACGAAAGUAAAUGUUUUUUUAGAGGGGCUGGCUCAGCAUACCUCUAUGCACAUAGCUUAAUGGUGCUGACGACUUCAUUCAGUUGGGUGCAUGCCUGAAGUUUGAAGAGCAGGGCAGCCACUUGACUACAGACAGAUCCUUGCCUAAAAUGUUAAGUGAAAGCAUACAUAUAAACAUGUAUGUAUAUAUCUAUUCCUUUAUGGAUUUAGCUGUAAACAUGCUUCUUUAUUACAGGGAUAUGAUGCAUCAACUAAGAAGAAAAAUUAAAAUUUUUUACCUGACUUUUUAGAUGUUUUUUAAAUAUCUUGAAAUCUAAACUUAGCCUGCCAUACAAGUACAAUUAGCAGAGAAAAUUAGCCUUCUUUUUUGUGUAGUACAACCCACACAUCAUGCAAUCAUCAUUUCUGUCCUUGUCUUUGACUUGGUAAAACCUGAAUUGAACAGUGACCCUGAUGAUAUUAACACACUGUAGUUGGGAGUGAAAUACAUCACCUUAAAUAAAAAAAUCAUAAUUUAUAAGAUUUUACCAGCAAAUGUAAAUUUGUUUAUAAAGAUGUAAAAAGAAAAACAUUUAUACAGAUAGGAGUAAAGACAAAAAAGAUUUACAUACCUGUGACUUUAUACAACAAAAAUCGCUUGUGUUGUUCAUUGGAUAAUUAUAGACAUCAUUAACCUGUCCACAGAUGAAAAAGUUGUAUGCCUCUAAAGACUUGUAGGCCUUUAACAAUUCUUUAGUAAAAUUACUUGAGGUAUUUAUUACUUAGUUGUAUAUAUCUGGCCAGCCAACAUCUGGGAGCAAACCAACAACAUCCUGCCAGCCUUUAUCAAGACCCUAUGGGUCCAGAAGGACAGAACCAUCGGUUAACGUUAAUUUACAUUUGUAAUUUGCGGGAUCUUUUUUAUCCAUAGAAUCAAAAUAGCUUUUAUCUGAUGACAUCAUAUGAAAUAUUAUUAAGCAAAUUACAUAUCCAAGCAAAAUUUAUAUGCAUUUAUAUGCAUUUCAACUUCAAAGGAACAUUCAGCAUUUAGUGUUUGCAAUGGCUGACAGAAAUUAAAAAUUAAUUUACGUUGAUGCAAUGGAAAAAUUAUAGAUGAAGGAGUUUCUUGAGCUAGAUCACUGUCCAAAGAACUGAACAGCGAUCUGUUGAGGACCCCAGCACCAAGACAACCAUAUGAUUAUGAUAAAGGCCAACCCUAUUUCUUUCUAGCUGACAAUGCAAUUCCUUUAUUAGCCAAUCUAAAAAAGCCAUAUCAAUUAAGAGGGCUUUCAAAACAGAAUUACAGGUUGAGCAGGGCCAGACAUUGUUGAGAAUGCAUGUGGCAUAUUAACUCACUGCUUUCGGGGAUUUCUUUAACCUACUCAGCUUGCCCAAGAAAACGUAGGAUAAUAGUAUUGGCUAGCUGUGCCUGACAAAAUUUUCUACAAGACAAAGCAGCAUCGAAAUAUAUGCCAAUGGAAACUCUUGACAUUGAAGAUUUAGAAGAAGGGCAAGUUAACAAAGGUAGUUGGAGAUCAGAGCAAGGUGAACUCCUGUCUAUUACGAUUAUUAGAAACAAAAGUUAUAGAAAUGACAGUAAAGUUGUCAGUGAUGAAUAUUGUUAAUAUUUUAACACAAGUGGCCAUGUGACAUGGCAUGACAAAUUUAUUGAAAUACUGACUUUGAAACUGGCUUUGAAAAAAGCAAACAUUUGAGUAAACCAAAGCUUUAAACCAAAGGUAUGGUUUCCUUACAUAUGUAUUCUUCAACAUUUAUGGAAGACCUUAUUGCAAUCAUUUCUUUGCUACAAGGAACUGCAACUUUAGCUGCUAAUUCCAACUGUCAGCACUAAUUCCAACUCUUUUACAAUAUUUGAACUUUCUUUUGCUGUUGGCUCUCAGUUUCAGUUUAGAAACCUUGGACUUUGCAACUGAACAUUUCAAUUUCUUUGGUGAAAGAGAUUUAUCUUUCAAUGGCAGAUUAUUCUCUGUUGGCCUGUGUUUUCUUGCAGACUGCAAAGUAUCUGAAAUCCUGCAGUAAAUUUUAUCCAACACAUGUUGAGUUUUGAAGAGGUAAAGGUCAUCACAAAGGCUUUUUAGGGCCUGUAUGAUCUUUACCUCAUCAAAGCGCAACUUUUUUGUUCUUCUUGUUGGAAUUUCUUUAUUUGCAGUUCUUUUGUUUGUAGUAGAGCAUCUUUGAAAAACUUAUGUAAAGAGUGAUCUUCCUGGUGCAUACUUGAUGUUGUAUGGAAAUCAACUACAGGAUCAAGUAUGAAAAGUGGAGGCAUUGCAAAACUAGACCCAAGUGCUUCCCAUUGAACUGUUGGCAAACUCGCCACAGCACAGUUGUGUUUGCAGGGCAUUCUUGUUUUUGAAAUUCUAUACAUUGGCAAGAUAGCAGUUAGUCAGACGACCCAAGCCAGACCUGGUACUCGAGCUUUCCAGCCUCUUGUUUGGAUGCAAACAAACGUGGAGAAAUCUUUCUUAUCUUCUCUUUUUGCAAUCUCAUUUCAUAAGGUGCAUGGUGUGUGUGACGAGGCUCUUUGGCCGAUUAUGUAAGAACUUUGGUACAGCAUCAUGGUACUUCUGAUAACAGUCACUUGGCUUUUUGUCACAGUACCUGCAAGGUGUUAGAUAAAGAUAGAAGAGAUGUUAGUUGAUACCAUGAUUGAGGGCUCCUUUUAAACAACAAGGUAGCUUUGUGAAUAAGUGCUUAAUCUCAGAGUAGAAGAAAAAAUUCUGCAAAUAACUGUUCCCAUUCUUAUUUACCAUUAAAGAACACCGAAAUUAUGAGAGUAGUGAGAUUAUGGAAAUAAUAUAGUUGGAAAAGUAGAAAUAAUAUAGAGACGAAUUCUAGAGCCAUCAUAACACUAUUUCUUAUUAGUCCACUAAGCUCCUUGUUAUCUCUUAGGACCAUUGGUAGAGAUGUCAAGCUCAGGGGGUGCAAGUUUAGGUGGGCGUGGCCUUUCAUUGUCAUACAAACAUACUCAUUGUUGAGAGGCUCUAUUUUUAUCUAUUUUAUCUAUUUGCAUAGAGAAACAUUUUGAUUCUCACUUUCUCUUAUCUUUCACGUGAUAGGGCACAAAGAGCUGACUUCUUUCCCAGGAAUGAAACUUCACCUAAAUUCACAAGGCCCAGGCGCUGUUGGGAAUUCCAUGAUGAGCAAAAUUGCCGGAAAAGUCGAUAGAGGAGAGCAACCAGUCUUGAUCCAGAUUCAUUGGAAUCUGUUUGCUGAAAAUUGACCUGCAGACAUUUUAUGGCAAUCUGAUGAGAUGGCAUGAAUUUAGGAAUUCUUUGAACACGGUGUACACAACAAUCAAAUGCUGCCGGACCAUCAAAAGCUGUACUUGAAAAAGUGUCUCAAGGGUCCUGCAUUUGUGACAGUUUCAGACCUUGACUUGAUAGGAGAUCAUUACCAAACUGUUGUUAGACUUCUGAAGGACCGAUAUGGCCAUAAAAAUUUUCUAUGAAAGUCACAUUUCGAUGGAUUGGAAAAGAUGCCAGUUGUUAACAACAGCUGCGAAUUGCAGCAGUUGCAACGAUUUUUUGAAGAGGUUGAAUGCCACUACAAGGCUCUUUCUGCAAUCAAUGUGAGGCCAGAGGAGUAUUCAACACUGAUGGUGCUAAAGUUCUUAGGCAACCUUCCUAUGGAUAUUCACAUCAAAUUGAUGGAGAAGAUGUGGAAAUUGCGAGACUGGUAGAAGGGCUGAGGAAAUGCAUCAGAGUAAUGGACAAGUGCGGUUUACAAGUGAAGACAUUUCCACAGAAAAAAUAAACCAUUUGUCAGAACACUCAACAGGUGCUAAACAGACAUCUGCAGACAGUCAACGAAGGCUGAGAUGCGAGUUUUGUCUUGGUGAUCACAAAGCAGGCAAGUACAGUAAGUACCAGACAGUCUCUGAAAGAGAAACAGUGACAAGAAAAUACAAGAGAUGUUUUGGGUGCUUAACGACAGGACAUAUGAUGAGGACCUGCAAAAAUAGAAACGUCUGUGUCAAGUGCUCCAAUUCCAAACAUCAUGUGCAAUGCUACCAAGGAGCCCAACGGUGUCAUCAAGUCAGUGAAAAUGUUGAAUCCAACAGCUGCAGUAGGGUAUCAGACAGUAAUUGAAAACUUCAGUGUGCAGAUGGCACAAAGGCAGUGAAAUGCAGAGUUUUGCUUGACAGUGGGAGUGCCAGAAGUUUCUUCAAUGAAAAGCUGGCAAGACAACUUAGAAGUACACCGACAGGGAAAAGGCUGCGUCAGAAAUUUGAAGGCCUCAACAAAAAUGUUCAAGAGCUAGAGACAGAGACACGCAUGGUGCUUUUGACGAGUCUUGAUGGUUCAUAUGAAAACUUAGUGCAAGUCAAAACACUCCUGACCAUAACCACAAUUGGAAACCCAGCCCCUCUAAAGCUCAAGAAGAAGUACCCACAUUUGCAGGGCAACUAUUUUAAAAAUGUGACAAAAGACAGAAAUUUUCAAGUGAAUAUGUUGCUUGGAAGUUAGCAUCUUGCAGAAACACAGGCAGGACUCAUCAAACGAGGGGAAGCGAGAGAACCUGUAGCAGUGAAAACAAAGCUGGCUGGACUUUAAUGGGAACGACAGGGCAAAAGGUAAUUGAAUACAGAAAGGUACCUAUAAACCUGAUCAUAGAGAAUGGCCACUGCAUCAAGGAUGAAGUUUCAAAGCUGUAGGACCUUGAAAUAUUGGGGAACAAAGAGGAAGAUCCAGUACACAUGGUCUUUGAAAAGGAAAUCAAAUUCAGUGGCAAAAGAUAUUCAGUACCCCUCCCUUGGAAAGAAGGAAGAUUCAAAGUUCCAGUUAACAGAGGACUGGCUGAGGGAAGGCUGAAGAAUCAGAUGCGAAAAUUGAAGAAAAUUCUUUUGGAAUAUGAUGGUAUAAUAAAGCAGCAACUUGAGGAAAGGAUAUUUGGAAAAGGUUCCAGAAAAGCAAACUGGACCAAAAAUAACCUACAUACCCUAUCAAGCUGUAGUAUGUGAAGAGGCAACAAGCACAAAGGUGAGGGUGGUUUACCAUGCAUCUGCUAAGAUAAAAAAGGAGCGAAAUCAUUCAACGAAUGUCUGCACACUGGGCCGUCAUUGAAUCCAUUGCUGUAUUCAAUCCUGCUGAAUUUCUGGAUGUAUAAGGGAAUACUGAUGCCCUACAUCAAACAAGCAUUUCUGCAAAUUGAAAUCGUUAGUCUCAAAAUAGCCCAAGGGAACAAUUUUCAGUCAGGGUCUAUUUCCCAUCUUUUGCCAGUGAAUUUGAUUUCCUCUUCAAAGAUGACAACAAUGUGUCUCUGCAUCUGCAGUAUGUUGAGACAUAGCUGAAUGGAAUUUGGGAUCGUUGGAAACAAAAGUACCUCAUUGGGUUAUGGGAAUUUCAUAGACCGAAAGUGCACAAGAAGGGCUCCAGUUACGAAGUUUAGCCUAGUGAUAUCGUUUUUUUAGAACAAGGGACCUCACAGAGGUUAGUGGAAGAAAGGAAAAGUCAUCAAAUUACUCAAAGGAAAGGAAGUUAGGAUCGCAAGAGAAGAGAAGUUACAAACGAAGGAUUGAAAGAGCAAUUUAGCAGGAAUUCCCAUUAGAGCUGUUUGCUGAAAUUUCGAAGAAGCCUCGCAAGGAAGAGCAAGCCAUGCCCAGACGAAGCACAAGACUGGCUGCACUGAACGCAAAAGCCAUAAGCAGCACAAUCACAGAGUAUGUCAACCAAGAAGAACUUUCUUGACGAUGGGAGUGUGUGCUGAAUUAGGCCCAUCACGGCGGACAGUUAGGCCAUGAUAAUUUGGGGCAGUUGUCCAAACAAACAAUAUGGGAAUGAUCCACUGAAACGAGGUACUGGAAGGUCCCAGAACCUUGUGAACAUGCCCAGUUGGCAGACACGGCUUGUUUAUGGAAAGUAUAUGACAAGUCUACAUGCACAAACGAUCAUAGUAUUGGAUGCUGUGCGUUAAUUCUUGUUGAUUAGUUCUUGUUAUCUAAUUAAUUAGACGCUUUAGUUCCCACAGGGCAAUAGGCGAUUCCCUUUAGAUAGGAUAUAUAAGGAAGCAUAAUGCCUAUUGUCCAAGUUUGCUGUCUAGUGAAUUAGAAUUAACGGUUUGAGAUAUACAAGAAAGAAUUAAAGAGCUGCGGAAAUCAAACAAAAUGGAGGUACAGGAUCUAUUCAGAGUGAGCAGUCAAAUGUUUCAACACCAAGCUAUCAGGGAAACGUUUUAACGACACCAACCAGGCCGAGAAGCGAACAUGGAGGUGGUGGGGCAAAGGCAAGGCUACCGAAAAUCAACCUUCCAAGGCUCAAUGGGGAGAUAACAUGAUUUUCUUCGUUCUGGGACAGUUACGCGAGAAGUUUGAUUAUUUGGUUUCUCCGCUAGAAGGCCCCGUCGCAAGAGCCGUACAAGGGUAACUUUUAGCCGAAGUAAAUUAUGAAAAUGCUGUUGAGCUUUUGAAGGAACGCUAUGGAAAUAAGCAAAAAAUGAUAUCCACACACAUGGAUUAAGUGCUAGAACUUCAAAAAUAUGUAACAGAAAAAACGUUGGAGUUAAGGUUGCUAUAUGACAAAAUCAACAUUCACAUAUGUGGAUUAGAGUCUUUGGGUGUAAACGCGGAACACUACGGAAGUUUAUUGAUUCCUGUAUUUAUGCAAAGAAUUCCAAAAAAUAUCUAACUGCAAAAGCUGUGUCAAAAAAUGUGUGUAGUAUGCCUCAGAUAUUGGAAAUUAUUAGGAGUGAAUUUGAAGCCAGAGAAAUGAGUGAGGAUGUCAGUGUAAAAGAAAGAAAAGUUGGGUUCUUUCAGAAGACAAAAUCACCUCCUGCAACAAUGUCAGCAUUUUACACAAGAGAAGAGGAUAAAAGUCAAAGGUGUUUGUUUUGUAAAGAAGGUCAUCGAGCAAAUGAAUCCACAGAUGUCAAAGAACCAAAAGAGAGGAAAGACAAAUUGAGACAGUCGGUAGAUGUUUUAUUUUUUUAAGCCAAAAACACCAGGCAAAGAAUUGUAGCUGAAGACAGCGUUGCAGAAACUGUGAAUAUUUUCAUCAUGUUUUCAUUUGUAGAGUCGACCAAUGGAUUCUGUAGAAGAUAGUCAACUUCAUUAAUUCCAUAUUAUUUGAAAAUCCCAAAAUUUUAAACUUGUGAACAUAACUGCAGCCAUUAUGAAUAAAUUUGCGCUUAGUCUGGGAUCUAGUUUACUGGGGUGAAAAACGGUCUGUUGCAAGGAAAGAUAUUUAUCGUUGAACAUUCGAGACUCAGCUAUCUUGGCAAAUUAUAUUUUGACAUGAAAUGAAGAAAAUGAAAGACUUGACGAUCCUGCAUACAAGCUGUGGCUAUGUGUAGAGAAAAAAUCUGCUACAGUCAAGAGUGCUCAUUGCUCUUGCAAGACUGCGAUGUCCCAGACAUGCGACCAUGUUGCUGCUGUUCUGUUUAGAGUUGGGGCUGCCAUCAGACUUUGUCUUGCAAAUCCUGCCUGCACUGGCAUGCCCUGUGAGUGGUUACCAAACCGUGCUAUAAUUGAACCCAAGAAGAUCAAGGCUGUCCAGUUUAACAGGGAUGAUUUUGGAAAUCAAGGAAAGAAGAAGCUUUUUUUUGGUUUCCUCUCCAAAGAAGAUUUAUAACCCUCUUUUGUAGAGCCAAGUGAAGCUGUUCAAGUGAAUGUUGCAGAUGUUGCUUAAGCACUGAGGGAAGUUGAAACUCCUCUUAUUUUGUCAGCUGCUGUCCCAAAGCCAAAGAUUAAUGCUAUAGAAGAUGUAGUUUUGUCAUUGGCACCAAAGCCAGACAAUAUAAUAAGCAUUGAUCAUGUUUUGAUGGUGUCAAAAAGUGCCAGAAGUUUUUUUCAGAAUAGUUCAGAAAUCAUGAUUCUUGAAAAUGUUGAGAAUAUCGAAAAUCUGACAAAGGGGCAAAGUGGUAACAAAAAUUUGCAUAUAUACUGAAAGUAUGUUAUCGCAGCAUCAAAAUGUCAUUAAGUUAUGACCAGAAUGAGAAAAGUAAAAUAUUCUUGGGUGGGUCAUAUCAAUUUAUCAUCGUUAUUUCAAAAAAUUUCUGUGAUGACAUUUGUAAAUCAAGACUUUAAACCAUGCACAAUGGUGUCAAAAUAGAAGGGUGUGGUUUAUUCCUGUACCAGAAAUAUUAAUUUAUUGGAGCAAGUCCAGAUAAAUGAGUAACAUGCUCUUGUUGUGGAAAGGCAACUUGGAAGUCAAAUGCCCUAUUUCCAUAACUCAUACUUUACCUCAAGACAUAAAUGUAAAUUUGCCAUACCUGCUAAAAUGCUAAUGCUAAAAUUGAAACAAAGUCACAUAUAUUUCUCUCAGUCUUAAACACAGACAGAUGGCUGUUACUGUUUUUUUUUAAAAAUGUUAAUUUUUGUUUGGGCUUCACAUGGGUACUUCAUUGAGGAGGUAAAAUUUGCAUGUGAUUUUUGGAAUGAAGUAUAGCAACGACUAGUUGACUUUUACAACAACUAUUAUAUUCAGUCAUUCUAUGGUUGAAAUUUGCUAAUAUUUCCUUCUAAACAUUCUCUGUGAGAUCUCAAAAGGAGAGAAUUCGUCAUUUUCCUGGCAAAUGAUUACAGUAGUAAACAGAUGAUUUGAUUUCUUGUGAUUUUGAAAGACAAUCUUUACUUUUGAUUGAAAAAUAACUCUUUUUAGAGCGUCGAGAAUUCGCAGUGAAGGCUACGGAGGCAACAGGAAAAGGUCAAGGGCCAAAAUGUGGAAAAUUAGCGUCUCUGGGAAAACCAAUCGGUAUAUUAAUCGACCAAAGAAAGACAUUGGUGACCUGGUAAACAGCAACAGGCAGUUAUUAGUUUUUAAUUAUCUGUCUUUUUAAGGUCCUUCUUUACUUAGAAAUGCAUUAAAGGUUUCCCGUUAUUUUAAUAAUUCUUCUUUACAUUUUUGGCCUUGUUUUAUCAAACUUAUCCAUGAAUAUUUUUUGGCCUUUCCUGCAUUUCCACAUAUGUAUUGUUGGUAUUAUGUUACUCUAUGAGUUUUAAACCACUCUAUGUGUUAUCUAGGUGGGGGUAUUCUCCAACUCUCAGCUGCGCCCACAUGUAAAAGGUGAUGUCCAAGUUCCUACAAAUUGGUUUGUUAACUCGACUCUGGGUGGUUGCUUCUAUCAUGUAAAGGAGGAGAUGGUGAAUGCCAAAUUCCCAGAUGGCGCGAAGCCUCAUACGGUAUUUCUUUUAUCUCGACACGUCCUAAUGGAUAAGGCAAAAGGAGAUAUCUGUGGUCUCCUCCACGCAGUUUUCGGAUUCAAUGGUAAUGAAUCACUGCUUCUAUCUAGCUUCCUCCAUAGAGCAACUCACUCUUGAACUCUGCCAAAACAAAAGUCCAAGGAUUUUUUAUAAUAACAAUAAGGUUUCCAGCAAAGGUGUAAGGGAUUUCCAUGGAAUGAGUUACCCUCCAAUGCCUCUGCAUGAUGAGCAAUAUCAUACCAGAGUAAUAAAUUUUGAUAAACCUGUAUCACUGAAAGUAAAAUUCAUUGUUCUUUAGAAGUUUGCACGAUUUCAAUGCUUAUUUAUUGGAUUACAAAUCUUUUGUACCAGUUGAUAAACAGAUUUGAUAUCAACGAUCAUAGCUGAACCAGUUCAGUUCAGUUGAAUUUUAAACCGUUGCUGUAUCAAUAACUAUGCAUAUUCAAGGUAGAAUAUCAAUAUGAAAUGCAUUGACUCUGGCACCAACUUUGCAGGAUCAUGAUAAUUACAGUGUUGCAAUUUGUUUUUAAGUUUCUAAUUUUUGGCACUUUAUAACAGAUCAUUGCUGUAUUAAUAUUGCCACAGCUGGACGAAUAUUCGAUUUGGGGGCAGCAGUACCACAGUAUAAUGGUUGAGGAGUGCAAAAAGCUGGGCGUCCAUUUCCAGGAUGUUACGCCAAAUUUUUAUGUAACCCAUCGCUGUCUGUGGUGUUGGAGAGAUGGCCUCCAUAUCAGCGAGGAUAAAGGACUGCCUCUCUUGAUGUGCCUAAUAAAAAACGAAAUUCGCUACCAGAAGAGUAAGGAGGAAGCCUCAAAAUCUCUGCCAACCCCUCCACCCCCUCCGCUACCAACAAAACCUGAAUGUCCAAAGUGGUUAUGGAGGGAGCAUCGAUACCAUCGCUGAGAAGGUAGGCAAAUGUAUUGCACUUUUGUGAAAAAGAAUUAGAAAUAGAUAUAGUGUAAUUGUAGAGGAAAUAUGAAAAAUGAUAUAAAAAAUUUUAUUAACAACGAUAUAUAUUUCCUUAGGUCCAGUAAGGCUUAUCAAGGGGACAGCACCUCCUGAAACAAAUAGAAAAAAGGCCGCUCUCAGCCACAGGUAAGAGAACUGUGGGUUUUUGACGAAGAAGGAUGAAACACUUAAGAGUUUUUUUUAAUCUUUCUUCCACCAUAAAAAUUUUUUCAAUGGCAUUAUCAAUUACAAUGUGGUACUGAGCACUACGAGUCCUGGUAAAUGAAUGCAAAAACAUGUUUUUCCCCUCAUCUUUUUUGUUGGAAAUGAUGGAUUUUGCAAACUUCUGACAUUUAUCUACCUUUUAGAGUGGAAAAAGUGUAGCAAAGUCUGGUUCCUAUAAUGUGUCCAAAGAGCAGAGAGGUAAAUGUAAGUGUGCUGUUUCAGAUUUUCGAAUUUUUCAACAUGAUUAUUUUUUGGACAAGUAAGUCUCAGAGAUACCCCGAUAGUAGAAUGUUAAUAAUACGACCUAUAAUAUAUUUCAAGUGAAAAAUGCUUAUAAGGAAAGAGUAGCUUCAUUUGAUUUUUGCAUUUUCUUAUAGGGAUGAAGCUGCGGAUAACUUUAGAUGCAAAGUACCCCUCCAAAGAUCCGUUAGAUCUUAUCGUAAGUAUCAUGUUUCUGUUGUUGAUUGAUUAUACUUCCAUUCUAUAAAGGAUCAUCUACCUGCAACUUUAAAUUUAAUAAUCGAUUGUCUUACCCAUCAACAGCGCCUUGUAGAAAAUCUCUAUUGCUCAAAUAGAGUUAUAAUUAGAGACACUAUCUAAUGUUAGCUUUUUUGUUUAGAAGGAUGCUCAAUCCAAAGACUACACCGUGAAGGAAUCAAAAGGCAACAGUCAAGGUAGCGAGGUAUGUCAUAAAUUUUUCUGCAUUUUCAUCAUACUGACCAACUCGCAUCAUUUAUCUAGCUGAUAAUUACAGCAGACUCCCUCUAAUUUUUGCUUAUUUUAUUUAGAAGGAUGCUCAUUCAAAAGACUACACUGUGGAGGAAUUGAAACGCAAAGGUCAAGGUAUUGAGGUAUGUCAUAAACUUUUCUGCAUUUUCAUCACACUGUUCAACUCGCAUGAUUCAUCUAGCUGAUAAUUAUAGCAGACCCUAUCUACAAAUUUUGAACAAAAAUUUUGACGAAAAUCCAUGCCCGUUUAGAUUUUUACGUUUUCCUUCAAAUUUUCACCCCCUCUCCCCUUCAGCAAUGUUGUGUAUGGAAGACACAUUGAUUUACAACUUGCAACAUUGUACUGGGGGUGAGGGGGCGGCGGUAUCAGGUAAAUUUCUGAAAAUAGCUGGAGUUCCAAUAUAUUUUGUCCAGGGUUGUAGUUUUUGCUUAUUUUAUUUAGAAGGACGCUCAUUCCAAAGACGCUGUUGGGGAGGAAUUGAAACUUAAAGGUCAAGGUAUUGAGGUAUGUCAUAAAUUUGUCUGUAUUACCAUCAUGCUGAUCAACUCAGUCAUUCAUCUAGCUGAUAAUUGUAACAGACCCUAUCUAAUGUUUGCUUCUUUCUAAAAUUUGCUUCUUUAAUGUACUAUUCUGCCUUGCAGGUAUCAAGAGAAAGUUCCUAUUUGAGAAUAGAAGGCUCUUGACAAAGUAAUGGUAAGAUUCUAGAAUUUAUUUGUUUUUUAGACAGUGGGUUCAAAAGUGUUGUGAACAUUGUUUUGUCUUUAGAAACAAUGGAUCCCAAUUCUUUUGCUGCUGGUAAUUUGACAGGGGCAGGUAAAAAUCAUAUCGCCUAUUACCAGUAGCUGCAAAAGCCACAAAAGAGGCAGAUUCAAUCGAGAAAAUUCAUAAUGAUAUCAUCGAACUUCAAAAAAUGCUUCUGAGUUUAGAUGAGAAGCAAGCUUUAAAACAAGGUGCAACUUUUAGAAAUCAUUUUGGGUAUAUCCAAUGGCCAAUAAUUAGUAAUAAUGAGAUAAGCAUCAUCCUAAUUGAUCAGCCAAUUGUGAUGUUGUACCACUAAAAUGUCAAAAAUUUUACUCUGUUUUUAUACGCAACUGGCACACUUAUAAGGAACUUCAAAGGAUUAAAGAAAUUUUUGUUUUAUGCAGCAACAGUCCAGCAUCCUUUUGGCAAAAGCCCUCCUUUACCUGUUGCCGAGUAUUUAACUACAAACCAGGACUUGCAUUCCAUUAAGCGAUUUUAAGUACACUACUAGAAAUGGAUAGCUUUAAGUAUGGCAACCAACAUGUUAAUAAACCAAAAUUAGUAGUACUUGAUUUAAGUAUGGCUAUUAUAAAUGCCUGCAUUAGUGAAUUUAAUGGGGAACAUAUACACGAAUAUAUAAACAGAUUCUUUCAGACAAUUAACGGUAGUGCCAGCUCUACAGAGUUGAGGAAAACUUUUCUCCAUAUUGUGCUUUUCACAUGAUAUGCCUAAAUCGCCAACAUGCUAUCAAAGAUUGCGGGAAUGGUGAAGAAGGAAAAAGUCGCCUACACUUUGCAACGAGCUUGUUUGGAAGACUAAUUAAUUGUUUGUCGAAAGAUGGUGCUACAAACGUUUAAAGAAUGGAACUAUUGUACUAGGAUCUAAAUAUGAUGAUAAGAAUGUAAAAACUGCUCUGAAAAACGUGGAAGAGUCAAUUAGAGGAAGUAGAACAUUGUAGUACCCAAGAAAAUUUCUGGUCAGAAGGGUUGAAUGCAGAUGAUGUUUCAGACUCGCUUGAAUAUGAUGCUGACAAUAGCUUUAAAAAUGAAACUAAGUUGCAUAAAUUUUGGGCGCAAAGGAUAAAAUCAAUAAAACAACACCAUAAUCCAGAAGAUGGCGAAACCAAUCGGUAUUACAUGCCAAAUUACUGUAAAUGAAUGUACGAUGACCUAUACAAACUGCCUUAUGUAGCAUUAUGGAGCAAUUUAUGCUUAGGAGAUUUGCAGCAUUUUAAUCCUGAAUACCAAGACUGGUUCUUGUCAAAGACCAAAACUAGCACCUUUGCAAAACAAUUUUCUGUUUAAGAAAAGAAAUAGGAGUAAUUUGAAGCAGUCAUUCGUUGAAUUUAUUCAGAAACUGCGGCAUCAUAAUUGGGCUUGCAAAGACAGUUCAUUUUAGGCUAAAAAACCAUAUCAGUGAAACAAAUAAAUUAUCUAAAGAAACAUAAUAGUUUUUUAACAAAAUUAAGAAACCUUCUUAUUAGUUACAACGAUUCCGGGGGAAGAGAAGGUGAUUUGGAAUGUGAUGCAAAAGAACUUUCUUGCAUUGUUGAAGGUUGGGAUAAAGGUAAUAAAAUCCUAAGGAAAAGGAAAACUCAAGGAAAGGUUCCAACGCCACUAAAGAAAAGAUUGAAUUUUGCUGCCUCUAAAACAGAAAAAAAAUUGUGCAAAGAAGGUUUUGACACUAAAAAUAAACGUUCUUGCAAGCGAAAUUCUCGAAAAGAAUCAACCCAAAACAAUGAUUCGAUCAACAAGGGAUACCCUCUAUAUAAGAGAGAGAUUUACAAAUCAGUUUCUCAAUCAGAAAAAAACAACAUGUCUUCUGUAUGCAAUAAAAUUGGGAAAGACUGGGAGGAAUUAUUGUCCGAAGAAAGAAAAGAAUAUAAUAGUUCUGCCUGUGCUAAAAGAGAUAAUUGCGCUCAGUGUCGCAAUGUGCAUAUGCACACGAUGGAAGCAAUUUUUUUUAUUGAUUGUCUGCCUAACCUAUUUGCUCAUUAUCGCUUCAAAUCUAUUCCUGAAAUAAUGCAACUGCCUGACCCAUUUUCCCUUUGGAUAAACCUGUCAUCUGAUGACAGAAGACAAAUCAAGAAAAAUGUUUAUUAUGUUGAGACAAAGCAUAUAUUCAAAAUAGGUGGACUGCAAAUUCUGAGUGAACGCAUGAUAGGAAAUAGUUGCAACAACUGCUGGAGUAACUCAGCAUUUCAUUUCCUUUGCAGAACUGCAUUAUCUAACUUGUUGCCUUCGUAAAACAACUGUAACACAAUUGUUUGCCAGUCAAUCCUCGAAAUUAGUGAAAAAUUUGAGCAAAACAUGGCAUCCACCCCCUUGGAAUUUACCUUGAACACGAGGACUAUUGUACCCUAUUUCCCUAAUUGUGAUCAGAAAAAACAUGAUGAUGGUGGUCUCACCAUGAUGAUGGAAAUUCUGUUGCAUCUUAUAGAUAAUAGCAUAGAUGACAUCGAAGGCUAUUUUUAAACAAAAAUCUUCAAUCUCACAAACUGCACUACUGGUAAUAAAGGUGGAACAUCUGCAGCGGCCAGGUUGCCAUUCCCAUCCAUUUAGGAAAAAAUUUGAUUCCGAACGUAUCUGUGCAGUCAUAUCUUUGUCUGUCCAUUUUCAAGGAUAGGUUCCACGACUUCUCUUGCGAUUGCAAGCCUGAAGAUGCUCAUUUGACUCAUAUAAUGUUUUAUACACAGCUCCCUGUAGCAUUAUUAAUUAUGGUCGAAAGUGCCAACAGCCUAGAAAAUGCAGUUCUGCAUUGUGCUGUUAUAAUUAACGAAACUCUCUUCUUAUCAAACAUGAUGCCAGGUCAGUAUAAUGAAGAUUCUUGUGUGUAUCGUUUCGCAGCUGUUCUUGUGAUAAGAAAUGCAAAGCAAACUACAAAUACGGCUUGGGAAAUCAAAAUCAGCCCCGUUGAUAAAAAAAUGUGGGAAGAAUUCUUUUUGGACUUGGGAAAAGCCCAAAUGAAAUUAAUCUACCUGUUGAAUCAUAUCAAACCAUUGCUUGUAAUGACAAUUUGCAUAGUGAUGUUAUCUCUACAUUCUUGCAACAUCUAGCUUUUAAAUAUUUUGGAAAAUUCGACAUUGAAGUGAUGCCAUCACAGGUUUUGACAGCCAUUCUGGAAAAAAGAUACACCAGACACAUUUUAUCAAGUUCUAUAUAAGAAUACCAACAAAUUCUGAGUGCAACUAUUGUCUUUGUUUCAUUCCACCAGGCCACCAAGGAUUCGCCUUGGCACUGUAGCAUUAUUGCUUUAUACCCCGAGAAAAGGCUGGUGGUACAUUAUGAUUCAGCAGCUAGUGUAGAUGGAGAAGGAAAAUGCCUUCUUUGCACUUAAUAUUUUUAUUUCAAAACUACUCUUCAUUGCAAAAAAGUCAGAAAUACCUAACUGGGUGUAUCUAUCAUUAACCAAAAACGGCCUCCAGCAGCAAUCAGAUACAGACAGCUGUGGGGUAUUGACAUGGUCAAUGCAUAUUGUUUGGUCACUUUGGCGGAUUUUGAGAUUUCUCAAACUGACCUUAUACCGAUAAGAUACUGGAUAGGAAAAGCUUGCAUCAAUGGGACAGAUAAUCUAGGUAGAAGAAGGUCCAACAAUGCCACUGUUUGGGGUGCAAACAGAUGAGCGAAAUAUUUCAAAGUACAAUCAUCAUGCAGAUCGAAACUCCUCUAAACCUUUUGCUACAUUAAAACCAAUUAUGGACUCGUUUUAUCUCCAGGAAACCAUUACUUAUCCAAAAAUCAUAUCAGAUGAAGCAGAAAGUAAUGAAAAUCCUAGGGAAGACACUAACUUGACAUCUGAUAGCAUGACCCUUGGUAAUAGAGAUUAUGAAGAAUCUGCUAGACUAGAGUUACUUAAAUUUUUUCACAAAACAUUUGCAAAGUCAAUUUGGCGCAUCAUGUCUCGUUACACUGCUUUACUAAUCGAAAUAGCAAGGACAGAUAAUGACUCUGUAGCAAGCCUCUAAUAUAAGUUUAAAUAUAAAAAUUACAUAGAAAGAUUACUUUGCCACACUUGUGCAAAUCCAACAGAUAUGUUCUUGUUUCCAGAACAACUUUCUCAGUUCGUAAUUAAAGAAUAUAAUAUGUCCUUUAAAGAAGCGACUGCAAAACUUUAAUCUGCAGAACAGCCUAGAAAUACGGUGUUUUUUAAUGCAAUUAAAAACUCAUAGAACCCAAUGACUUUGCUUUCCUCUUUCUCCAAAUCCACUGCAGUAUUGUAAAUGUAUCAUCUGUACAGUGACAAAUUUGUAAAAAAUUGUAAAAUAGAAUGAGAGAAGAUAGUAGUUUAGAAAUUAAACUUAAUUAGUUAAGAUAAUUUUUAAAUUGUGUCAAAACUACGCAGUUUUAUACAGCUCUGAUAAAGCUCCCUAUUAAGAGGCAGUAUUUCAUUAAUAGAAUCUACUUUAUGUUUAAUAUUUUGUUAAUUGACCCACAUUCUUGAUACGUUAUUCAGCAAAUAGUUAUAGUUUAAAUGAUUUUUGUAUUAAAAUUUUUACAAAUUUAUACAAUUUAUACAAAUUUUUGCUGAUUAGCAAAUUUCUGCAUGGCAGAAAAAUCAUUGUAGGUUUCCCUAUACUUCACGCAUUCAACGAAUUGAUCUAUAUCGCCAUUGUCCUGCGUUUGGUCUACAAUUUUCAUAUACCAAGUCUAAAUCAAUGUAUAUAAAUAAUUUACAUGUUUAUUAGUAAUCGUAUAUGUUAAAUGGGCCUUUUUGCUGUAGGUUGAAACCAAACGCAAAGUAUAAUAAAAUCAAUCUCAAUAAGCACAAACAAAGAGAUCCAUUUAACCUUUAGUGUUGUAACAAGUUUCAUUAUAGAAUUUAAGUUAACAUUUGCUAUAGAAUUUAAGUUAAUAAAGAUUUGUACCAUUUCGAUGAACUUUAAAUAAAUCAUAAUUCUGACUCUGCAAACUGUCGUUUGUCAUCUUUUGGGGUUCACCGUCACUGAUAUAAAAAUCGCCGCCAGACCCAAAAAAACAUGUUGAGUACAUUACAGUAAAACCUUGCAAACAAAGAACAUAGGAAAAUAAGAACUUACGGACUGAUUUUGUGGAAAAUAACACCCAAAGAUAAGAACCAAAAACAGACUGGUUUCUUUCCAUGUUCUUAUGAGAUUGUUCAUCAUAUUAAAUAAAACAUGAAAUUCUCAAAGUCAGAAUAUAUAGUUUUCAAGUCGUCAUUGUGGUUUGAUUAAUUGAUAUUCAGAGCCAUGGCAUUUUUUCAUUUUUCAUAUUAUGAUUGAAAUUGGUUUGUCCCCAACAUAAUACCAUAUCCUCUACAAUUUGAAAUUCAGUCAGGCCAUUCUCAAAUCUAGUUUCUUUUCUUGUGCAUCAUAGUUGUUAGUGUCCUUGCGAUAAGAGUACCACAUUUACGGCUGAAAAUAUCUUGAGUACCACAUUUAUAAGAACCUAGUCAGUCUGUUUUUAAAAAAGGAGGUUCUUGUCUGCGGGGUUUUACUGUAUUUCUAGUUACCCUACCAAGUUUCAUGUUUCAUGCUAAUUAGGGCUAAUUAAGGUUAAUUAAAGAUAAAUCAGUAAGAUUUCCAAAGUCCUGAACCGCUGAUCAUAGAAAGUUGGUUGACACCUCAAAAGAAGCAAAAUACCUGAAUUAUAGGGGGCGCUUUAAGAUGUGUAUGCACCUCAGAUGACCGAAAGUGCCUUAUUAGGGCUAACUAAGGUUAUUUAAUGCAGUUCAGCCAUAUUUCACAACUGCCAAACCACUGGUUGUAGAAAGUUGGUUGACCCCUCAAAAGAUGCAGAAGACCCCAACUAUAGGUUGUGUGCUAUUUCAAUUUGUGAGCAAUUUGCUAAAUCAGGUAAUAAAUUUGUUUCUUUGCGUUUUCCUCAGGAAACAUGAUUUGUUUUGGCGAUUGGCGAUGUCCUUAUCGAUUUAGGACAUUACAUGCCAUUUGUAUUAGGUGACUGUGAAAUCAUUCCGGUGACAGCACAUGUUCUCUUCGCGCUCUUCGAAUUAUUCUUUGCUUUUCAGUAUUAUGACUGCAAAUCGAAUGUUUCCAAUAGAAAUGAUCACAAAGAGAAAUUUCUUAUGAACAGCUGUUUGUUUGGAAAGAAAGUUUCAUAUAGAAAGGAUUGGAGAAACUUUAAGUCUUCAAAAUCUUUAAAGAAGCAAAUUCGUCAGAGGAGGGCCUACUCGGUUGGUUUGGAAAGUAUGGACCUUUACUUUAGUUUGCUGCUUUGUGGUGACAUCAAAUUAAAUUCUGGGCCGACGAAUCUGUUGCAAGGGUUGAGACUCCCGAUUUUUCUGAAAUUUUACUUCGACUUGAGAAGAAAAUUGAUGAUGGCAUUGAGAAGGAAAUCAUUACGACUUCAGGCAUUCAGAAGGAAAUCAAAGUUUACACUAUUGUGUAGGUUUUUAUUGAAUGAUCUUAAUUUUUGUUUAAACAUCUAUUCUAGGUUGGGAGAAUCUGAUAUCUCGGCUACACAACAUUAGCAUGCACAGAUGUUUCUUGCAAGUGGAACGAUGACUUUGUUGAAAAAAAUCGAAGGAACUGAACUCUCAAAAAUGAAACUCCUUAAGAGAACAGAAGUGAAAAGACCUCAAAAAAGACGUUUUGCUAACACAUCUGAUGCUGAAAGGGAUGAUUUUUUGAAUGCUCCAGUUCUGAGUAGGCCAACACUGCCAAGAUCACUGCAUGAUUAUUUCUGCCCUCGAGCAAUGUCAUCAGAAGCAAUGAUAAAAAAGAUUGAAAAUUUCCUCUGAUGACAGGAAAAUUGUUGAGCAAUCAACAAAGUUGCAAAGUGACUCCAUUUUCUGGAAAAAAGUGCGACUUGGUAGAAUAACAGCUUCUGUCGCCCCUGGAGGUUUUACACUGCAAGAGGAAGAGCCCGCCCAAUCACUGAUUUUGAAAAUAUGCAGGUUAUCUCCCCCUCUCAAUGUCCCAGUUGUUUCCUGGAGAAGAGAGCAUGAGGCAGAGGCAAUUAGAUACUACGAGGGUCAUCUUCAAAACAGCCAUGUUAAUCUGAAGUUGGAGAAAUCUGGUCUCAUGCUUGAUGAUCUACAUCAUUUCCUUGGUGCAUCUGCUGAUGCAAUAGCUUCCUGUGAAUGCCACGGCAAAUUUCUUGUUGAAAUUAUUUGCCCCUUCAAACACAGGAAGAAGCAAUGCAUUGAAGAAUGCUUCGCAGACAAAGAUUUUUGCAUUGACAGUUCAAUGAAAAUUAAAAAAAACCCAGACAUAUUACACCCAGAUUCAGAUGCAAAUGUACAUAUACAAGAUGAAAGUGAACCACCUGGUAAUAUAAACACAAAAUUUUUGUAGAGGGGUUAUUGCUGAAUAUGAUGAGGAUUUUUCUGCCAGUAUUGUUAACUCGUUUGCUUUCAUGAGAAGUUCAUUGGACCAGAGCUUAUUACAAGAAGAACAGAAAGUGAAGUACCUGUUUCAGAGCCUAAAGAUGGUUCUCAACCUUUUUGGUAUUGCCAAAAGCCAUAUAAAGAAGGGGAUAGACUGGCUGGUUGUGACAACCCACACUGUAAAUAUCAGUGGAUUCAUUUCCAAUGUGCUGAAAUCAGAAGUCAGCCAAGAAGCAAACAGAACUGGUUCUGCAAGGAUUGCAAAAAGAAAUAAGAACAGUUAAAAAUUAUAUUCAUCUGAUCAAAUGUAAGUUAUGUUCAAUAUUAGUUACAAUAUUAUAUUUUCAGUGACAACAUUUUACUGAACAAUAAAGCAAUUUGCUGUUUACUUUGUCAAUGUUCGCUAUAAAUUAUCCCUGUUGUUAAAUUCACUAGGGCAGCACAAACCACUACAAGUUUAUAGAUAUAAGGUAUUUCGUCAGAAACUUCAUUAUUUAGAGAUUUAAUGAAUGUUAUUGGCAAAGUUUCUUAAUUAGACCAAUCACCCUUUCUACACGAAUCCUUAUAUUUGCAACUUCAUUAGCAGAAAUUUGCCUUUCGUAAAUGCAGGAAUUAUAAGAUCUGCACAGCAUACUGAUGUAAAGUCGUCCUGAAGAGUUAAACCUGUCUGCAAGAAUUUGGUCACCAGAUUCAGGCAAGUUUGGGUUUAUAAAUCCUGAUUCCUUGACAAUUUGCACAUCUGUUGCUUCCCCACCCCAAGCUUUUGAUAGGAAGGAAACUGCUCCAAGAGGACUACAGCUAAUUAAAAAUUUAAUUGUGCUGUGCUUCUUAUAGAUUGAGUACACUUGAGCUUUCAAGUUUCCUGGUCUUUCAAUGAAUAUUUCGAAGCAGUCAAUUAUGCUGGUCAGCCUUGGAAAGUACUGCCUGAAUAAAGUGUCUGUCUUAUAAAAUCAUGACCCGGCCAACAAACUAAAAAUUUCAUUUUCAAGUACAUCCAAAAAAAUUAUCCCCCAAAAUGUGCUUUGUGACAGAUUAACAGAUAUUCAAAGGACAUAUUCAACCUACUAGCCUUACAACAACCAUCAAGAUCUGAUUUUUCAAUGGUAAGUUUUUUCUUGGUUGUACCAUGUGUGGCAAAAGCAGAUUGGUGACAGAAUUAGAAACUUUUAAAAAAAACCGUGAGAUACUUGGCUGCAUCAUUAUUGUCUUCCAUGACCACUGGGUCAUAAUUUGUCAGGAGAAGCUGAAGUUACAAAAGCUCCAGGUUGUUUCAUUGGAUUUUAGGCAAGUCAACAAGGAAAAGGCUUUUGAUAUGGUUGUAGCUAAUUUAGUAAAGAGAUUGUGGAUUAUAGAAACAUUCUUUGAUAAGAAUUAGUCAUAAAUGAUCCGUUUUUGCUUACAAUAGGUAUUAAUUUAAGUGGUUUUAUCAGCAAUUGAAUGAAUGUUUGUUCCUGUUUGUAUCAAAAGUACCAACAGGUCUUCCGUCCUUCUCAUUCCAUUCAUCAUCAUUAUGGAUAGCUUCAUUACUAAUAUCACCUUUUUCCUCAACUUCCGAAUCAUUUUGAGAUUCUAUAGAGUUGGAUUCAUUUUGUGUAUCAUCAAAUAUAUCAUCUUUAUUCCACGAAACAAAGCAAAAUACUAAUUCAUUUCUUGAUUUACAAUUUCAAGCUCCUUUAACCAAGUGUUGGAAAAUUCCUUCUGCUUUGUAAAGAUCGCUAGUUUCAGAGAGGUGGUGUGCAGCAUACAAGACACGUAAUGGUCUAACAUGCUGAAUCAUGCAAUGUCCUUUGUAUGAUUUUGAUCUUUUUAGUUUAAUAUCUAUCGAUUGUGGUUCAUCUAGAGAUCUAGGUAAGAGAUUGAUUGUUCUAUUGACAUCAGCAGGAACAUUAACAACAUUUCCAUGAAUGCCCAGCUGAUUUUCCCUGGGUAAUUCACGGAUUUGCAUGAAAGGAAUUCUCAGAGCUAUAAGUUGCUGUUCAAGAGCAGUCAAGUCAAGAAUAUCCACCCACAUUGGUUGCGAGCCGAGUAAAAUAGAGAAGGACGUAAAUAGAGAAAUAUUUCCGGUUAGAGGUAAAAUAGAGAAAUCAGAUUAACCGCUGUUUGAUCCUAUUGUCAGCACUCAAUUACUAAAAGGUUAAGUAUAGGCUCUCAGGAUGAAAUGGAGAAGCGGUUUGGCUCUCACAGGUAAAAUAGAGAAAUGUGGCGCAGUAGGUUCACUGAGCACAAUUCCAUGGCUUUAAUUCGUAAAAAUUUUAGGAGAUCCUCCCGUUUUAUCAAGUUAACAAGUUUUAUUAGAUUUAAAAUCAAAACUCCAGCCAUUUAAAUGGCUCUCACAGGUAAAAUAGAGAAAGAGUUUAUGUCGCCAAAGGGUAGAGAAGGUUUUGGGACGUAUAAAAUGUGAAAACGCUAUGGGUGGUGUUGUCCUUGUCAAUUAUCUCAUAUUCAAUAAUAGGACAAAAUUGCUUCAUCUUUCAGAAUAGUUACGUAAUGUGAUAAGUAGCAUCAUAGGAUGCACAGUUAGAUCCAAGGAAUACUUUUCCUGUAGUACUUAAUGAAGGCACGUAUAACAAUGAUUAAAGUUGUAAAACAUAGAACUUUUGCACCGCACAAAAGAUCUGGAGUCCCCUUUGGGGCCCAUAUAAUCACAAGAAAUGGUUGUGCACAACACACAUGGAAAAUGCGUGGGGUAGAUUGGAAAGGAACGGGUGGGAGAAGCCAAGAAGAAAGUGGAAGCCAGGUGAAAGUGGAAAGCAAAACAAUGCUUUGGCUUCUCUGAAUGGCUUUUCUAAAAGACAGUGUAAGUACUGUCACCUCAUUUAUUUGCACAUUAAUCUUUCUGUUGUAUCCAUUCAAAAUACAUCUGAUUGUCCGAAUUGUUUUCUCCUCCACUAAGGGUGUACCAGCCUUUGCUUCAUGAAAAAGCUAACAUUUUGACACAACUAGAAAUCAAAGUAUAAAUUAUGGCACAAAGCUACGUCUAUGCUUAUUCUAUUUAGGUACUUUUUUUCUUGGACUCCCAACUUCGGCCAAUAGUAGAAGAUACUGUUCCCAGCAGCCUGGAAUAUCAACUCGACGCCAGGAGGCUGUUUCCUUGAUGAAAUGCACUCUGUGUCAGAACAUGACCCCUAGUUCGUCGUCUUUAUGGUAGGAACCAACAGUAUGUCCCGACACUGCAUGUUCAAUCAUGCAAGAAGAGACUUUUCGGCAUCGGUGGAAAAGUUUCUGAAAAUAUUUUUAUGUACUUAGUGGUUAUAGUUAUAUAUAAAGGGAUUAUAUAACUAUUUAGGUUAUUUUACUAGGCGUCGCAAUCUCCAUUGCACCUUGCCUGGAUGAUGUUGAUGUGCGACGGCACCUUUUCAACCAAGCCAUGGAAGAAGAGUGCAAGAAGUUCAAUGUUCUCUUUUUUGACAUUGAAAACUGCAUCGAUUUUACAACCAGACAAACAUGGUCAAGUCAAGACAGUAUUCACUUGAGUGAAGAUGUAGCUUUACCCUCUCUUGUUGAUGGUUUGAAAGAAUUCUUGUGCACAGCAUCACAACGUGUAGUAGAGCCAGCGAUGAAAACAGUGCAAAAAUGUCCUGAAUGGCUUUGGAGGGAGCUGAAGCAUCAUAACGUCAGAGGUAAGAUAUUUUUCUUGCUCAAGGUGUCUUUAGUCAUUAGCCAUGUCCAAACAAUUAAGACAUAAGUUCAUAAAAGACAUAUGAACUUAUAAAAAGUGUUUUUGUUUUUAAGGUAAGCUACAAGAAAAAAAAGAGCAAGAGACCCGUCCUCUAACCUUUCCUUGACCCAAGAUCGUGAAAAAGAACCACAAGGAUCAAUUACAAUCAUUGAAGUAUAAAACAUUUAUUUUUUGUCUUUUCUUUGAGUAGAGCAAAUCUUGAAAUGGGCCUUUUAAAUACUUCAUACAAGUUGAUACAUUGCAGAUGGUUUUCAGCUGAGAGAACUAAGGGGCUUUUGUGCUAGAUACAAUGCAGCAGACGUGUGACAUGAGUACAGGAUAAAUACUUUUCUGGCUCCAAUCUUACACCUUCAGAUGCAUAGGACAAUAAUGUCAAUAUACCACUUUCUUGAAUCUUGAAUAUCUUGCACCAUAAUAGCUAAACAGGAUAUUUUUCUUUUCUAUUGACGUCACCAACUCCGGCAAUGGCUUUGCCAAAGAUUGACAAAAGCAGGGGACAAGUUGUCGGAAAUGUAUUGAUACCCUGGAAGUGCAGUACCAAUCUGUACAAGGAAGGAAUGUGGAAGAUUUCAUGCCUAUGUCCAACAGAACAGUUAAAUUUUGUUUCAUAUAUUAAAUUUUGCUUUGCUUCUGUCACAAAGAUUGUCUAUAAGACCGAUUUUUCCAUGCAGAAAAAAAUCAAAUUGGAUCCAACUUUUUUGCAUAAAUUGUAGACCUUAAUGUUGAUGAUUUGUAGAACUAAAAUCAAACUUCACCUAGAGAAAGUUGUUCACUUUUCCAAUUUUAUAUGGAAAGCAUAUUAUUUCCUUUGAAUUUCGAAACUACUCAGGAGGUUGUAGUCACUGUCGUUUUACGUUUUAUGGCUUCUGCAAUCAGUUGGCUUUGUUGGUUGAAGUUGUUCUUAAUAGUGGAUACUUUUUCCACAGAUGAUCAGCCAAUUGAGGAGAUUAUUGCUGAACUUGAUGCAUCUUUUACAAGUCUGAAUGCCUUAUCUGAAGGAAGACAAGAAAACAAAAAGAGGAUAAGGAAGAUUGAUUCAGGUAUUGGCCUGACAAAAGUAUGAUUAUUUUAAUGAAAAGUAUUUUGAAUGAUAAUAUAGAUGGAAAUAUAGCAAAAAGACAGAUUGACAUGGUAAUAGACCGAUACAAAUAGAAAACAUGGUUUUGUGAACAUAUAGCAAAAAUCUAAGCUGGUUAGCACAUAUCUAUUGCACUUAAAACAUCUUAAAAUAAAGUCAUCAUUCACAAUUAACAUCAAAAUAAACUAUUUAGCUUUACA